GGCUCAAGUCAGUAAUUUGUUGAUUUCGGAGCUAUUAAAUCCUAGAUCGCCCGAGCAACACCAAUUAUUUAGGGAAUAGCUGGGGUUUCAAUGGAAGUCAUGGGAUUGAUGCUUGGGGAGUUUGUAGAUGAAUAUAUUAUUCGUGUGGUACUGGGGUUAGUGUUGAAGCUGUUCACCCUGUGUUCCAGACUAAUAUGUUGGAUAUGCUUAAGCAGACUUGAAGGGUAUGAUUGGCUAUAAAAGGGUUGGAAACAAUCAGCAGAGAACAUCGCUGGUCCAAGACAAUCCUGCACUCUACCUGCACUUUAAAAGUUCAGAGAGGAGCUUUUUAGAUCCUCUCCACCUUCCAUCCACCACCAUCUCGAGAAUCAGCACCAUCAACACUUCAUUUACACCUCUCGGACUUGGGAGAAUUGCCUCUCACCUAUUUGUGAAAUCACUCAACAGCUCAACCCUAAAACUCACCACCAGUUUCCCUCACAACUUUUUUCAUCCCGUCACCACCAUAGAUUCCACCUCCACGGACCACCAGCACCUCCC
Molecule: long non-coding RNA, 540 nt
Organism: Papaver somniferum (opium poppy)
Lineage: Eukaryota; Viridiplantae; Streptophyta; Magnoliopsida; Ranunculales; Papaveraceae
Exons: 3
Source: RefSeq, a predicted model, not a curated record